CCUACGGGCGGCAGCAGUGAGGAAUAUUGGUCAAUGGGCGCGAGCCUGAACCAGCCAAGUCGCGUGAGGGAGGACGGCCCUACGGGUUGUAAACCUCUUUUGCCGGGGAGCAACGGGCGCCACGUGUGGCGUCACUGAGAGUACCCGGAGAAAAAGCAUCGGCUAACUCCGUGCCAGCAGCCGCGGUAAUACGGAGGAUGCGAGCGUUAUCCGGAUGUAUUGGGUUAAAAGGGUGCGUAGGCGGAUCGUUAAGUCAGUGGUCAAAUUGAGGGGCUCAACCCCUUCCCGCCAUUGAAACUGGCGUACGUGAGUGUGAGAGAAGUAUGCGGAAUGCGUGGUGUAGCGGUGAAAUGCAUAGAUAUCACGCAGAACCCCGAUUGCGAAGGCGACAAGCCGGCUUCCGACUGACGCUGAAGCACGAAAGCGUGGGGAGCGAACAGGAUUAGAUACCCUGGUAGUC
Molecule: ribosomal RNA, 460 nt
Filed under: uncultured bacterium
Lineage: Bacteria
Description: partial 16S ribosomal RNA
Rfam family: Bacterial small subunit ribosomal RNA
Source: RNAcentral